Molecule: long non-coding RNA, 2165 nt
Organism: Fukomys damarensis (Damara mole-rat)
Lineage: Eukaryota; Metazoa; Chordata; Mammalia; Rodentia; Bathyergidae
Exons: 3
Source: RefSeq, a predicted model, not a curated record
UGAGGCGGCACAUGGGCGGUACUCUGCAGACACUCCAGGCAUAAAGUUCAGUGCACACAGCAGGCCACACCUCCCACGCAUCUCCCCUUCCCACACAUUGCUCUCAUGGUAGGCACAGCUGCUUCCAGGGCAGGGGGGUGGGCAGUGACCCCGCACUGUGCUCGGCCCAGCUGGCACCCAGCUCUCUCGGGACCCUGGCUCCCAGCACCAGCAGGCUCCUAGCACACAGGCCAUCUGGGGAGGCAUCCAACAGUACCAACACAGCCACUGAGCAGAGCAGACAUGAUCCCACCUUCCAGCCUGCGGUCUCCCAGCCCAAGUCUCUGAGGUGGUGGCAGAUAUCCCUGCCUUAAGGAGAGAACGUUCUGCUGAUGCUGUUUCGGGGCCCUCCCAGAAGCAGUGCCACAUCAGGCUGAGCACUGCCUGCAGGUCGCAGGGCCCCAUACUGGGAUGACUCUCAUCACUGUGCCAGCCCAGAGGCGCGCAGCUCCCCACUGCAAAGCACCGACUUCCAGGGAAGCACAGUGCCCACCCAUGCACUGCCCCAGCUGUUCAUGGAAGGCACCGUGGGGAAUGAGGGCAGCAAAAGCAGUGGAGUGGCCUGGGACAGAUGUGGCUGCAGACAAGGGGAGGUCACAGGCAGAGCCACCGGGCCUAGUCCUCACUCUCAAGGGCAGCUCACUCAAAGGACCUGCGGCAGGAGAAUGUGUUGGAGGCAGUAAGAAGUACUGAAGUCAGAAUCAGCUGUGACAGGGCACGGACAGGCCUGGAGGAACAAUGGAGACACAGGCCUUGUUUCCUCCGCUGCGGCACCAAAUGGCACUGGAGCAGAUGAGCUACCUCGCAGGUGGUCGCCACAGCACAGCAGCAUGCACUCCCCAGGAGCUGUGGGUCCAUGAGGAAGCUCCUCUGGGGAAGCGCCCCUGACACAGUGAGGGACAGGUUCCCCAGGCCACAAGAAUUCCAAAGAACGCCUGCUUCCCGGGGGUGGGGGGGGGGACAGCUGUGGUGGAGGAAAGGAAAAUGCUCAUCUCAAACCACCUCUCUCUCUCUCAUAUUCCAAAAGUCUCUCCAAAGUGAUUGCUAUUGACUCAACAAAUGGGCAGAGUUUGGACAAAAAUUUACCAGGCCCCCUUCCAUUCCUCACAGCCACCUAGUUAAGGAUUCAAAGACAGCUACAGAAGAUCUGUGACACAUGAUGGUCCCACUUAGCGUUUUGCAGCUUUUACCACAGAGUACAAGCAAUAUGCAUCCAGCAGAAGCUGCACUUAGCCCACACCCACACCCACCAAGGAACUGGAAAGGGGCAAAGGGUGACUGACUCCUUUCCUCCUGAAUGCAGACAGGCCUGGCGUCAGCCCUGUUCCCAUCUCACCCACCAAAAGGGGCUUCUCACCCUCAAGCCCACUCCUAACUGCCACCCUCUGUGAAACACAUGGUUAGUGCUUCGGCCACCAUGGACCCUCUGAGGCCCCACGUACCCAAAUAAAACUUCACAAACAACAGCUGCCUCCUCACACAGUUCUCCGCUCUGCUCCGCAUGAAAGCCUCUGGAAGAAACCUCUGCUAGGCCUCGGCUCGAAAGGCGCUUCCACCAACCCUGCAGGUGUCCAUCUCCUGGCUUCCCUGCCUGUGGCACGGGGGCUGAAGGGGCUCCCACUGUCAAAUGGCCACCAGAAAGCUCGGGCUCACAGGCACAGCCAUCUACAGCAGGGUGCCUGUCACCCUCUCCAUGUACCUUGCCACACUCUUGGCUCUUGAAAGACGUCCAAGUGCAGCACAGAUGUUCCUCUACCUCUAGGGGCUCACACCUGAUUCGCCCAUCCCCAGCUGAACUAUCCUAAGCUGGAAAUAUACAGUGCACACCUGGCCCCUGAACAUGGCAGCUCGGCGCCUCCCCUCCUACCUGUGGGGUUGAAUGCACGGCACUGUGAGAGGAUCAGAGCAUGUACUGUAAGCCCAGGGAAACAUUAAGGUUCACAUAAGUACAGUUUCUCCUGUGCAAGUGUCACUUGUUAAAAAAUUCAGAUGUUGAAUCAUCAUGAGCCAGGGCCAAACAAUGCCAACAAAAAGAAGGCUGAAUCACAAGGAAGCACAGGAGAUGGCCAGGCCACACCAUGCCAAGUCCUUACCCAAAGGAGGGAGCAAGGGCCCACUUCUCCCCA